UACGGAGGGUGCAAGCGUUAUCCGGAAUCACUGGGUUUAAAGGGUGCGUAGGCGGUUUGUUAAGUCAGUUGUGAAAUUCCCCGGCUUAACCGGAGGGACUGCGAUUGAUACUGAUAAACUUGAAUCAGGUUGAGGUAGGCGGAAUGUGGCAUGUAGCGGUGAAAUGCUUAGAUAUGCCAUAGAACACCGAUUGCGAAGGCAGCUUGCUGGACCUGUAUUGACGCUGAGGCACGAAAGCGUGGGGA
Molecule: ribosomal RNA, 245 nt
Filed under: uncultured bacterium
Lineage: Bacteria
Description: partial 16S ribosomal RNA
Rfam family: Bacterial small subunit ribosomal RNA
Source: RNAcentral